CGGUAAACAGAGGGAAGCGAGCCUGCAGGGGGAGCGAAUCCCAAAAAUAACGUCCCAGUUCGGAUUGUAGUCUGCAACCCGACUACAUGAAGCUGGAAUCGCUAGUAAUCGCGGAUCAGAAUGCCGCGGUGAAUACGUUCCCGGGUCUUGUACACACCGCCCGUCACACCAUGGGAGUCGGAAAUGCCCGAAGUCUGUGACCCAACCAUUAAGGAGGGAGCAGCCGAAGGCAGGUCGGAUGACUGGGGUGAAGUCGUAACAAGGUACC
RNAcentral lists this ribosomal RNA (268 nucleotides) under uncultured bacterium. Its description in RNAcentral is "partial 16S ribosomal RNA". It matches the Rfam family "Bacterial small subunit ribosomal RNA", at positions 1234 to 1500 of the family's 1533-position model. The record is from RNAcentral.